RNAcentral lists this ribosomal RNA (667 nucleotides) under uncultured Actinomycetes bacterium. RNAcentral describes it as "bacterial SSU rRNA". It matches the Rfam family "Bacterial small subunit ribosomal RNA", at positions 74 to 756 of the family's 1533-position model. The record is from RNAcentral. Lineage: Bacteria; Bacillati; Actinomycetota; Actinomycetes.
CAGUGCUUGCACUGGUACUCGAGUGGCGAACGGGUGAGUAACACGUGGGUGAUCUGCCCUGCACUUCGGGAUAAGCCUGGGAAACUGGGUCUAAUACCGGAUAGGACCACAUUUUGGAUGGUGUGGUGGAAAGUUUUUCGGUGUGGGAUGAGCUCGCGGCCUAUCAGCUUGUUGGUGGGGUAAUGGCCUACCAAGGCGUCGACGGGUAGCCGGCCUGAGAGGGUGUACGGCCACAUUGGGACUGAGAUACGGCCCAGACUCCUACGGGAGGCAGCAGUGGGGAAUAUUGCACAAUGGGCGCAAGCCUGAUGCAGCGACGCCGCGUGGGGGAUGACGGCCUUCGGGUUGUAAACUCCUUUCGCUAGGGACGAAGCGCAAGUGACGGUACCUGGAGAAGAAGCACCGGCUAACUACGUGCCAGCAGCCGCGGUAAUACGUAGGGUGCGAGCGUUGUCCGGAAUUACUGGGCGUAAAGAGCUCGUAGGUGGUUUGUCGCGUCGUUUGUGUAAGCCCGCAGCUUAACUGCGGGACUGCAGGCGAUACGGGCAUAACUUGAGUGCUGUAGGGGAGACUGGAAUUCCUGGUGUAGCGGUGGAAUGCGCAGAUAUCAGGAGGAACACCGAUGGCGAAGGCGGGUCUCUGGGCAGUAACUGACGCUGAGGAGCGA